CCCUUAGAUGUUCUGGGCAGCACGCGCGCUACAAUGGUCUUCGCAAACGGAUGCAUUCUCGAAGGAGAAUGCCAAUCUUGGAAUCUAUGCCUUGGUCGGGACAGUUGCUUGCAAUUUUUCGACUCAAACCAGGAAUUCCUUGUAAUCGUGAUUCAUCACAUCACGAUGAAUACGUCCCUGCCCUUUGUACACACCGCCCGUCGCUCCUACCGAUCGAAGAGUUAGGUGAAUUGUUUUGAUCGAUAAGAUUUGACUAUGGUCAACUCUCGUUGUGAAAUUCUGUGAAUCUGACUGUUUAGAGGAAGGAAAAGUCGUAACA
RNAcentral lists this ribosomal RNA (319 nucleotides) under uncultured eukaryote. RNAcentral describes it as "partial 18S ribosomal RNA". It matches the Rfam family "Eukaryotic small subunit ribosomal RNA", at positions 1470 to 1796 of the family's 1831-position model. The record is from RNAcentral.